AUGGACCACGCGUCCAAUGCGGUUCGGAGCGCGCCGUCCGCGCCCACCUGACAGCGGCUCGCUACGGUUUGUUAGCC
Molecule: small RNA, 77 nt
Organism: Xanthomonas oryzae pv. oryzae
Lineage: Bacteria; Pseudomonadati; Pseudomonadota; Gammaproteobacteria; Lysobacterales; Lysobacteraceae
Rfam family: Xanthomonas sRNA sX9
Source: Rfam